GAGGAUAUGCUAGAGGAGGAUAGGCUGAUGGCGGAGGGGGAAAAUACGGUGGUGGUGGGUAUGCUGCUGGAUUUAGUGGAUGCAAUGGAUAUGCUGUUGGAUUCGGUGCAUACGAUGGGUAUGCAGGAGCAGUCGCAGGGUAUGCUGUAGCGGAUGCACUGUAAAGAUGAGCUGAUGGGGGAGGAGGUGCGUAGUACAUAGACACAUGAGGAGGAG
RNAcentral lists this long non-coding RNA (216 nucleotides) under Eucalyptus grandis. RNAcentral describes it as "long non-coding RNA (EGRA_LNC005600)". The record is from RNAcentral. Lineage: Eukaryota; Viridiplantae; Streptophyta; Magnoliopsida; Myrtales; Myrtaceae.